GAAGGUGUAGCUCAAAUGGUAGAGUGCAUGCUUAGGAUGCACGAGGUCCUAGGUUCAAUCCACAGUACCUCCA
This 73-nucleotide transfer RNA is filed under the name Camelus bactrianus (Bactrian camel). It matches the Rfam family "tRNA". From Rfam's summary of the family: Transfer RNA (tRNA) molecules are approximately 80 nucleotides in length. The record is from Rfam by way of RNAcentral. Lineage: Eukaryota; Metazoa; Chordata; Mammalia; Artiodactyla; Camelidae. RNAcentral also lists the same sequence under 2 other names.